RNAcentral lists this ribosomal RNA (230 nucleotides) under uncultured Alicycliphilus sp. Its description in RNAcentral is "partial 16S ribosomal RNA". It matches the Rfam family "Bacterial small subunit ribosomal RNA", at positions 548 to 774 of the family's 1533-position model. Lineage: Bacteria; Pseudomonadati; Pseudomonadota; Betaproteobacteria; Burkholderiales; Comamonadaceae. The record is from RNAcentral.
AGAGAUGCACUGGGCGUAAAGUGUGCGCAGGCGGUUUUGUAAGACAGAGGUGAAAUCCCCGGGCUCAACCUGGGAACUGCCUUUGUGACUGCAAGGCUGGAGUGCGGCAGAGGGGGAUGGAAUUCCGCGUGUAGCAGUGAAAUGCGUAGAUAUGCGGAGGAACACCGAUGGCGAAGGCAAUCCCCUGGGCCUGCACUGACGCUCAUGCACGAAAGCGUGGGGAGCAAACA